GGAGAGAUAGCUCAGUGGUUAAGAGCACUGACUACUCUUCCAAAGGACCUGGGUUCAAUUCCCAGCACCA
This 70-nucleotide transfer RNA is filed under the name Mus musculus (house mouse). It matches the Rfam family "tRNA". From Rfam's summary of the family: Transfer RNA (tRNA) molecules are approximately 80 nucleotides in length. Their secondary structure includes four short double-helical elements and three loops (D, anti-codon, and T loops). Lineage: Eukaryota; Metazoa; Chordata; Mammalia; Rodentia; Muridae. The record is from Rfam by way of RNAcentral.